GCUGCUCAAAUAUGCUACCUCUACGUGGUGGGCGGCAGGCAACGAGAACCUUUCUCGGCUAAAGCAUA
This 68-nucleotide ribozyme is filed under the name unclassified sequences. RNAcentral describes it as "RAGATH-2 HDV ribozyme". It matches the Rfam family "HDV ribozyme from F. prausnitzii". The record is from RNAcentral.